UGAGUAACGGUUUCCCCAAGGCGGCGCGGGUAGCCGGCCUGAGAGGGGGGCCCGCCCCCCCCUGGGAUGGGACCCGCCCAGACUCUUACGGGGGCAGCAGGGGGAAUUUUGCACAAUGGGGGAAAGCCUGAUGCAGCGACGCCGCGUGAGGGAUGACGGCCUUCGGGUUGUAAACCUCUUUCAGCAGGGAAGAAGCGAAAGUGACGGUACCUGCAGAAGAAGCGCCGGGCUAACUACGUGCCAGCAGCCGCGGUAAUACGUAGGGCGCAAGCGUUGUCCGGGAAUUAUUGGGCGUAAAGAGCUCGUAGGCGGCCUGUCACGUCGGAUGUGAAAGCCCGGGGCUUAACCCCGGGUCUGCAUUCGAUACGGGCAGGCUAGAGUUCGGUAGGGGAGAUCGGAAUUCCUGGUGUAGCGGUGAAAUGCGCAGAUAUCAGGAGGAACACCGGUGGCGAAGGCGGAUCUCUGGGCCGAUACUGACGCUGAGGAGCGAAAGCGUGGGGAGCGAACAGGAUUAGAUACCCUGGUAGUCCACGCCGUAAACGUUGGGAACUAGGUGUGGGCGACAUUCCACGUCGUCCGUGCCGCAGCUAACGCAUUAAGUUCCCCGCCUGGGGAGUACGGCCGCAAGGCUAAAACUCAAAGGAAUUGACGGGGGCCCGCACAAGCGGCGGAGCAUGUGGCUUAAUUCGACGCAACGCGAAGAACCUUACCAAGGCUUGACAUACACCGGAAACACCCAGAGAUGGGUGCCCCCUUGUGGUCGGUGUACAGGUGGUGAAUGGCUGUCGUCAGCUCGUGUCCCGAGAUUUG
This 810-nucleotide ribosomal RNA is filed under the name Streptomyces sp. A6. Its description in RNAcentral is "bacterial SSU rRNA". It matches the Rfam family "Bacterial small subunit ribosomal RNA", at positions 254 to 1076 of the family's 1533-position model. The record is from RNAcentral. Lineage: Bacteria; Bacillati; Actinomycetota; Actinomycetes; Kitasatosporales; Streptomycetaceae.